AACGAACGCUGGCGGCAUGCCUAACACAUGCAAGUCGAACGAGACCUUCGGGUCUAGUGGCGCACGGGUGCGUAACGCGUGGGAACCUGCCCUUACGUUCGGAAUAACUCCCCGAAAGGGGUGCUAAUACCGGAUAAUAUCUUCGGACCAAAGAUGUAUCGCCUUUGGAUGGUCCCGCGUUGGAUUAGCUCGUUGGUAGUGUAAAAGCCUACCAAGGCGACGAUCCAUAGCUGGUCUGAGAGGAUGAUCAGCGACACUGGGACGGAGACACGGCCCAGAAUCCUGGGGGAGGAGGCAGUGGGGAAUAUUGGAAAGUGGGGGAAAGGCUGAUGCAGCAAUGCCGCGUGAGUGAUGAAGGCCGUAGGGUAGUAAAGCUCUUUUACACGGGAUGAUCAUGACAGUACCGGGAGAAUAAGCUCCGGCUAACUACGUG
This 433-nucleotide ribosomal RNA is filed under the name uncultured bacterium. RNAcentral describes it as "partial 16S ribosomal RNA". It matches the Rfam family "Bacterial small subunit ribosomal RNA", at positions 29 to 507 of the family's 1533-position model. The record is from RNAcentral.